This 21-nucleotide microRNA is filed under the name Ananas comosus (pineapple). Its description in RNAcentral is "microRNA s0954_c123a". Lineage: Eukaryota; Viridiplantae; Streptophyta; Magnoliopsida; Poales; Bromeliaceae. The record is from RNAcentral.
AGAGCGGAUCCAAUACACAUC